Molecule: long non-coding RNA, 341 nt
Filed under: Homo sapiens (human)
Lineage: Eukaryota; Metazoa; Chordata; Mammalia; Primates; Hominidae
Description: HSALNT0064371
Source: RNAcentral
UACAGAGUUUCUGGAGCAAGUUGCUUCGUCUAGCAAGUCUGGCUUCUUCUUCACAAUGAGAGCUUCAAAACGGAAAGGCACUUGCAUGCCAGCAUAUUUGCCCAGCUGUGCAGUAAUUGUCUUAAAUGUGAACUGAUGGAAGAAAAACAAACAAUGAGAGACUUUGUCCUCAACCCCAGACACUGACAAUGAAACCAUCCAAAGCAAAAAUGACAUUGAGAGUGAAAAUAAAACCUAGCCCAACCUGAAUGAGUGUUCUGUUUGUUUUUGAAAUGAGAUAUUCUAUCUCAAAAACUGUUGAGGCUUACUCUGGUGUCUCCAGGUUAAGGCUUGAAAUAAAA